CUGACAGGAAAACAAAAGCCCUAAACAAUGUUUAAGGGAAGGACACUGUAGGAGUUUGCAAAUGACAUUUUUUGCAUGCAAAAGAUCAAUGUUGGAUACCAGGGCAAGAUUCAGAGGAAGGAAGGGAUACUGAUAUCCUCGUGAAGAGACCCAGCCAUGGGAAAUCAGGGUUCAUCAGCACUUUAAGCAAAACAGAGACUAAAGUAAGAUGAUUGUAUCUGCUGCAUCCUUUCAUGCAGUAUAUUUGUGGAAGGUGCCUACUCCUGAGUAUUCCAAUAGAUUGACGUGUAUGUGCGUUUAAAUGUUAAAAAGAAGGCAAGCAUAAACCUGCAAGUUCUGGCCAAAAUGGGUACUUGUCACGCACUUGCAAUAAAAUAUGUGAAAUCCAGAAUAAUCUGCGGAGGUU
This is a long non-coding RNA of Phaethon lepturus (White-tailed tropicbird), 406 nucleotides long. RefSeq lists it as uncharacterized. The transcript is spliced from 2 exons. The record is from RefSeq and is a predicted model, not a curated record. Lineage: Eukaryota; Metazoa; Chordata; Aves; Phaethontiformes; Phaethontidae.